GUGAGCAGCUAAUGGAUAGUUCUUAGUCGACGAUCCACAUGACCUUUGCUUGCAGGUGUCAUUCCGACUAUAAUUUUUAUCAGAAUGCAAUUCAAAUUUUGUAUCCACAACUUGAUCUGUCUGAGCUGCCCAAUCCCGAGAUGGACCUGGACAAUGCUUUGACGUAGCUACAUAAGAAGCGAGGCAAUACUUAUAUAUUUUUUGAAUUCAUAAUUCU
RNAcentral lists this long non-coding RNA (217 nucleotides) under Elaeis guineensis (African oil palm). Its description in RNAcentral is "long non-coding RNA (EGUI_LNC032036)". Lineage: Eukaryota; Viridiplantae; Streptophyta; Magnoliopsida; Arecales; Arecaceae. The record is from RNAcentral.